RNAcentral lists this ribosomal RNA (415 nucleotides) under uncultured bacterium. RNAcentral describes it as "bacterial SSU rRNA". It matches the Rfam family "Bacterial small subunit ribosomal RNA", at positions 917 to 1333 of the family's 1533-position model. The record is from RNAcentral.
GGGCCCGCACAAGCGGUGGAGUAUGUGGUUUAAUUCGAUGCAACGCGAAGAACCUUACCAGGGUUUGACAUCCUGCGAAUCUCUUGGAAACGAGAGAGUGCCUUCGGGAGCGCAGUGACAGGUGGUGCAUGGCUGUCGUCAGCUCGUGUCGUGAGAUGUUGGGUUAAGUCCCGCAACGAGCGCAACCCACGUCUUUAGUUGCCAGCAUUUAGUUGGGCACUCUAGAGAGACCGCCGGUGAUAAACCGGAGGAAGGUGUGGAUGACGUCAAGUCAUCAUGCCCCUUACAUCCUGGGCUACACACGUACUACAAUGCUACGGACAAAGGGCAGCAAGUUCGCGAGGACAAGCAAAUCCCAUAAACCGUGGCUCAGUUCAGAUCGUAGGCUGCAACUCGCCUGCAUGAAGCUGGAAUC